AGCACAAACAUCUUCAAAGUAAGUCCGCUUCCCCAGUUUUAAACCAAUCAUUGCUUCACCAGAGCCAUCAGAAGUCCCUACAGUUGGACAAUUUCCACUACUGCCCACUCUUAUCAACUCUUUGUUCUCACUAAAAUCUUUAUGAAAAUCUUCAACAUUCCUAAAUUUCUUUAUUCCCUCUUUCAACGAAGAAUCACCUGAAACAGAGAUGGAGCUCCUGGAAGAAGAGCCAUGACCCAAAUCAGAACCAGAGAAGCCACCACCUCCAGAUGAGUAUACAGAUCCAUUAUCCACCCCUCCAUCUACUUCAAUAUCAUGGUUUGACAGUUGUACCCGCCCAGGAAAUUCGAAAGCCUUAGUAUUAAACGCUGUUAGGGUCUCCCAGUCCCAUUCUGAGGGAGUUCUUAAAUUCCACUCCAUCACAGAAAGAAACCUCAUGAAAAGAAUUCAAACAGCAUCUUCCCCAUAGAAUGCACAAAGCGUCUCUAUUGAACACCAGUUACUGCAUGCAUAAGCUAACAUAAGUUCAAAAUCCGUAACUAUCUACAUAAAGGCUUAAAAAAUUAAUCUAAUCAUAUGAAUGAGAUUGAGCAAAAAAUUCUGGAAGCAGUCACAAAUCACAACACUGAUCAGACAUGCUCUAAAACAAAGAUAAUAACAAAAGUGACAAAACAUUCCAAAAGGACAACCACAAAAAGAUUAUGUAAGCAUUUAAUAAGCAUGUCUGUUAUCCAUCAGGAUCAAAAAUCUAAAGCUAAACUAAUGCAGUGGUUACCUUCAAACUUAAAGCUUGGAAUUGUAGAGUUUGUCUGAGCUCCUCCUGUUUAGCAGCAACAAAAACAGUAGGUAGGAAGUCUUUUUGGUGUUGCCGCAGACAGAUUAAGUCCCUUGUUCCUUGAGCAGCUAAGCCUAGUAGACAUCCAUGGAUACUUCUAAAGCCAAAUGAUGCAGAUAAAGAGAACAGAAACUGAACAAGAACAAAAGGUGUCACUUUCAGGCCAUUGGUUUUCUUAGAUUUUUAGUAUCCCUCACCAUCCAACAAAUAAGUGGUACUCAAUCUGUCAGACACCUCCAUGUGGAUUCUUCUCAGUUCCUAUUUUUUCCAAGACAAAAACGACACCACAUGCCAUCGAAAUGGUCCUGCCACCUCAUCACCCACAAAGUCACCACUCAACACAAAACAACCUUGGCCCCACCGAAUCACAAAAUCUCAGCAGUCCUGCUCAAGCAUCACUAGCCUUUCACACACACACACAGAGACAGAGAGAGAGAGAGGUUUAAUUCACUUGCAGUUUUGCAGUAAUUGUGUCAGACUAUUUCACCACAGAAAUUUGCAAGCAAAAGAGCAACCAUUUCUUGGAAAAUUACCUUCAUCUAGAUAUAGAUUUGACGUACAUCAUCAAAGGGCUGCCUGACACUAGGAUAUAAACACACGUCUGCUAAAGAGGUUACUUUCUCAAUUAAAAACCACCCAGAAAGAAGCAGUUGCAGGCAUUGACAUCAGAAGCUUUCACCAACUUCCAUCACCACCUCAUAGUUGCAAUUAAUCAGUUUGCCACUUCCCUUUCAAUAAUUAUCAGGCAAACUUCAAUCACACUUACUGCUCUGAGAUUGAUAGGUAGGCAAUUCUAAAGUUGCAAAAGCCUCAUAAACCUUUUCACAGUGUGAUGAUUCAAAAAGCUCGCGCAUAUACAAGUAAAAGAUAUGAGUCCAUGGAUUCGGCUUUCCUUUGUUUGUUUAUGUGUUAAAAGCAAAGCCAAAAUCCAAGGGCCACCAGUGAGCUUUUCAAAUCAUUACCUUCUCCAAACUGAUUUCACAAACAGAGUUGGGUGGAUAAAGUCCCAAUUAAACCUGGGAAAAGGAAACAUACAAACACACACAGAUUUUAAUAACAUGGAUAUCCCCUCUUUGACUGCUAUGCCAAUCAACCUAAAGCAUAAGUGACUGGUCCAUUUCAUCUUAAAACCUAAACCCAUCUCUCUUCCACCCAAUUAUGCAACAAAGGCAUGUUCAUUUAUUAAAAACAAUCACUUUAUAAAUUGUUUCCACCUAAUCUUCUAAAUCAACCAUUUCCCAAAAGGAUCUAAGUGCAAUUGACCCAGAGAAACGAUCAUCAGUAUUAAAUUUAAAUUUUUAUGGUUCACUAAAAUAAAAAUUUAAAUUUAAAUUUUUAACAUGACAAGAUACAUUUUUCUUUUUCUCUUGGAGAAGCUAACCAAAAUGAUGUGAUAAAAUAUCCGUUAAGUUAGAUGGAGCCUCCAAUAAAGGAAAACUGCUCCCAACGACACAAAAAAACUCUUCUUAACAACUCGAGUUCCUGCUACCAUUUCCAUUUUCUAGAGAAAGACAAAACACAUUAAUUAAAGCAGUCACUGCCUUAUAAUCCAAAAUAAAUAAAGAUACAAUUUCUUUUCCACCAUUCCUCAAAUUUCCCAGUGGAAAGUGGGAUAUUGGCAGAGCUGGCUUUUCCGGUUAGCUUACUUCCGCAGCAGCUUCAAACGGCCUUGGAAGCACCAAAAACAAAAAACAAAAAACAAAAACAAACAAAAGGUAGCUGUGGCCAAAAUAGCCUUUCCCCUUUUAUAACCCUUUUCCCGUUUAUAGAAAAAAGAGAAAAUCUUAGGGUUUCAUUCAGCUAGCAUUCAGAAACAAUAAAGAAAACAAAAAAAUUUAAAACACAAUCAAAGUAAAGAUACUAAAUCUAGGGUUAGGGGUAGCAUUAAGGUUUGGGUUCUAACAUCAGAAAAAAUUGCAGAAACAAUAGUAUUUAAAAAGAAAAAAUAAAAACAAAAGCAAUCUUUCCCUCACUGAUUCAAUCAUGAAAAAUCCAUUUCUGACUUUACCAAAUCCAGAAAUACAAAAGGGGAAAGAUAGAGAGCAAUAAAUUGGGGAUUCAGAGGAGACUUACCCUAGUGGAGGUGAUGGAGUAGGCGAGUGGACUCGGAGGGAUUGGUUACAGUAUCAUCUAUUCUAAAAUAUCAUAUACAUAAUAAUUACACAGAAUUGGAAAGAAAGUAAAAGGAGAGGAGAAGAGAGGGCAUGACCACAGAUUUGUUGCUAUUUAUAGAAUUCAAUCCGCCAUUAUUAUUAGGGUUUGGGUCUCCCUACACCUAUAUUGCAGCCACCUAUCUGUGCACUGUAUGCCCUUGCCAUCCACGGACCAUUUUUGCCAUCUGGCAUGUCUUACUUCUCUUUUCCAUAAAUACCCUGAUCUUCUAGAAACUACCUGCGCACCACUUCGCCCACAAUUACUCUUCCACUAGUGCUUCAACCAAUGGUGAAUCAUAUCAUGAGGAUAAAGUUGUAAAGUUGCAGGAUUGAACCAUGUACUUUCUUUUGUCUUUAAAAAUAAUAAUAAAUAAAUAAAGAAGAAACCUGCACCGUAAGAAAACAAUCCUAAUACAUUGGUAAAUUAUUUUGAAUGUCUAGGCUAAGUUUUUCUUUCCAUAUAAUUAAAAUUUUGUAAAUUUUUUUAUUAGACAAAAAUAAAACUUCAAAUCAGGCAAUAAUCUUUAAAAAUAAUUUGAAGCCCAAAUUUGAUCAAAUUAAUAUCAUAAAUUUAUGAAUAAAAAUUGGUAUAAAAUGACUCUAUUGUUUCUAAUAUACCUAAAAUCAUAAAUUUUUUUUUCAUUUUUUUUAGCUAGAUAAACAAAUCUCAAAUUAAACAAGACUUAAUGUGUUAAAUUCAUUAAUGAGUCCAAUAAUUUUGAAAAAUAACUUAAAACUCAAAUAGUGAUCCAAUAAUCUAAAAAACUUAUGAACAAAAUGUUAGCUUUUUUCCUAUAACAUGUGGUCAUAUAUAAUUAUAUUUGUGUAAAUAUUAUUUUAAAGUAUCAAUUGAUAGGUAGGUGAAUCAAUUGAUUGAGUAUCCAAGAGUUUUAUAUAUGGAAGACUCAAAUUAUAAAUGGGGAGUUAGAAAAUUUUAUUUAUAUGAAUGUAGUGUUACAAUUUUUGUAAUCUCAUCAUUAUGAAAUUUAAUUUGUACAUUAUGUUUAUGAAUAAUGGAAGAAAAUGGAAAAGUAUAACUUAUGCAAUUAUAUAGAUGCAUUCAAGUUAAUAACCUACCAUUACCCAUAAAUUUAUACAUAAUGGUUAUAAAUAAUGAGUAUAACUCUCAUAUAGUCUUUGAUGGGAAGACUAAGAAAUAUACAUCUUUUAAUAAGUUAAGGUCUUAAGUCACACUCUCAUUCUUAUGUCCUUUUGUUGUUUUAUUUUUUAACAACAUACACUACACUAGUGUCUCAUCCACUAUAUGAGAGUAAUGAAUUGAAGACCUUGACAAUACAAUUCACUAGGUGACUCAAUCUCACUUCAAAAGUGUUAUUGAUAUCAUGAAUCAAAGUAAGAAUAUGAUCAUUAUUUUAGUACUUAUAUUUAUUUUGUUUUAUGCAUCCAAAAUUAUUUUUUAAAAUAAUUAUUUCCUCAUAAAAUUUAUAAAAGUUUGGUUAACACAAAAAUUGGUCUAAAGUAAUAGGGAAACUCAAAUUACUUCAUUUCCUAACCUUAGAUCUCAUAAGGCACAUGCAAUCUAUUCCUAGGCUUCUUUAGAUCUAAAUGCAAAAGAAAAAAAAAAGAAUCAAAACUAAUAUAACAUGGAUCUAAAGAUAAAAACAUAAUAUUUGUGAUUUAGAUAUUCUCAAAUCGAUUCUGAUAUGAUAAAAUAAACCAUAGGCAUUCUAUAUCUCAUAUAUCCAGGGAUCUUUUGUUUGAUUACUCCUUUCAUUGAUCUUUGGUGCAAGAAAAGGGUUGUCUUCUCUAGAAAAAGGCUAGGGUUUUCUUUUCUAGAGUUUGGAAGACAAUGGCCAAGAAGUUUAACCCUAAAUCCCUAAGAGGGUUUAUAUAAGCUUUCUUGCAAGAGUUGAGAUAUGCCAUAAAUUUCUCAACUACAUUAGCUAACAAAACAAAACAACUAACUCCUAAAAAUACAAAAACAAACUGAGAAAAUAAAGGGCUAAUCUAAAUAGAUAAAAACACCCAAUGGGGGGGGGGAGGGGGUGAAUUGGAGUUAAAAAAAAAUUAAAAUACAAUAAAAUUAAGCACAAGAAGCACAAAUAUAAAGAGAUAAGGAUAUAGAAAGCAAACUCAGAUUUAUAGUGGUUCGACACUUCCUUGCCUACAUCCACUCUCCUCAAGCUCCUAACCGAGUGAGGGUUCCACUUAUAUUUGAAGCUUUAACCAAGCUUCUAAUCACUUUUUACACUUGGGUUCUGGCUUCAAUGGGUUCUUACACAAUCUCUUUAAGUCUCUACUCACUUAAAGGUUUUAACACUCAAUUGACAAGUUUGAAUCUCUCAACCUAUCUCAACAAUGGUUCAAAUACAACUCAAUGCUAGGAUAAAUCACAAAGGUGCACUAAAGAAUAUGCAAAUGAAGAUUUAAUGCACCAAGAAAAGAAUGAGAGUUUUUAAGGCAAGAACAAGUAGGUAAACAAAUAAAUGCAAGUGUUCUAUUUUUCAUAAAUGAAGUGAAACUCUCAAUUUAUAGGUUUUUAACCUCGGGAGCUAAAAAACCAAAAAAUAGCCUCGACCAAUUGAGUUGGGGGUCGACCGAUUCACUAGUCGCUGAAGUAUUAAAUGCUUGGCAGGUGACCGUUACCCUUAACCGGGAAGGCAAAUCCCUCGACCGAGAAAUAAAGGUUAUUGGAAGAGAAAGAAGAUUUUUUCAUCUCUUGAUCGGAAAUGAGUAACCGGUCGAUCGGUACCCUAGCCAGUUGAGCUGGUUGGCCAGUGUCUCGACAGGUUCACCAUUUUUGGCCCAAAAACCUAUCUUUUUAUGGUCUUUUUGCUUCUAGCACUUAGGCAAGGUCUUUAGGUAAAAUAAUAUGCCAAUUUUGAAACGUUUUGCCUAAGGUUCAUUUGAUAGAACUUGGAUUUUGAUGGAAAUGUAACUUUAAUGCAUAAACCGAGUUUUCAAAGAUGCAUGAAAUGAUAUGAAAAUCUUAAGUGCACCCAUGCAUUCAUCUUACAUAUGUUUCAUAUGAUUAAAAGGUCUUUCAAAAGUCUUGAUCUUGCAUCCAUUAGGUCAUUUGAUGAAUUUCCAAAUUAGCACUUGAAAUUCUUUAUAAUUCAAACAAAUUAGUAACUUAACCAUGGUUUUUAUCAUCAAAACAUAAUUAGGAGAACCCUUGGGCUAACAAUCUCCUAUUUUUUAUGAUGACAAACCUUGGUUAUCAAGGAGAAGAAGAAUCUCCCCUUCAAACCAAUGAUGGAUCAACAAUCAAUAUUUAAGAACUUAAAACCAAAAUGAUCAAGACAUAUUAGAGAGAAAUUGAAACAAGAAACAAUGUAAGUCAUCAAAUAUAUAGGCAUAUCAUAUAUCAUAAGUCAAAUGUAUCAAUGUUCAAUAUGUACGAUCCAAAAAAAAAUAAUAAUAAUGCAUGUGUGAGUCUCCUAUAUCUAGCCUCCUAGAUCCUAAAAUAUCUUCCCUUUUUGGCAACAUCAAAAAGGAAGAAAGGGGGUGUCUAAUGAAUCAAGGUUGAGGAGGUGGAUAUGGAAACACCGAACCCAAAUAGGUCAUCAUCUUCUCAUGUCGAUGUUCCAAGCGAUCCUCAAUACGCUAAAUCCUCUACUGGAGAUACUCAAAUUGUGAAGUGAAGCCAACCUGACACUGAUCCAUACAAUCCUCCAUGGAAUAGAAAUACGUAUCACUAACCACAACAAGCUUCUCCAUGCGAGUGCCAAGAGAGUUGAUUUGAGUAGAAAUCCAUCCAUGGAGUAUGGUCAGGAGCAAGGGUGCUUGAGGAGGUGGUAUCUUAGUAUGGGUAGGCUCGGUGAAUGUAGGUCCAAAGCAGGAAGGCUCAGUGUUUAACAACAAAGUAGAUGGAUCCUCUAUAAAAGUCGGCUUAGUCAUCAUUGGCUCAUAUAAGACAGUCUCAAACUGAACACCCUUUGUCUGGAGUAGAGGAAUGUCAAGCUCGAGUCAUCUCUUCUUAUAGUCACUCUGAAGGUCUACUCCAUCUUCCAUCUCUCGAAUCUUUGUCUCCUUCUCAACUCCAGGAUGUGCCUGACCUUGUCCUUGUCCUCGAGCCUGUGUUAGUGUUCUCUUUGCUUUUCUCACCCAAGAGCCAUCUAGGGCUUUCUCAAAUUUCAUCAUCCCCAUGGAUUGAUCAUCAUAUGUAUCAUAUGUAUUGGGGCCUCAAAAUCCGUCUCUCAACUUAGGUCAAUGUCAGCAUCCUUUAAUACUUCGGUAAGGAAGCGGCCAUAGGGGAAUACAAAAGUCGUGCUCUCGCAACAUGCAAUCAUGAACAUCAUCAUCAAAUAUCCCAAAUGGAUCUGUCUCCCAGUCAGAAUGGAAUCUAUAAGGAAUGCCUCAUAAUAAGAGACCUCAUCUCGGUGUCCACCCUGUGGUAGUGUAGUACUCUACUGAUAACCGUCAAGUUAUGUGUUGAGGGUUUACCCAUCCCGUGGGCAUCUAGAAGUCCAUAAAUCUUCUUAAUAGCCUCUCUAGGCUCAAAUCCAGGCAUAGUGGGCCAUAUCUUGGACUCGUAUACUCUGAGUCCAAUCGGAGCAAUAUCAAAGAUACGAUAGAUGCUCUCCGAAUCCAAAGAAUUUUCAACUCCUCUAAUAGUAGAAGUGAUCAGGCUACCCAUGUCGUAAGUCGUCCUUGAGUAGAAUGCUUGCACUAACGUCGGAAAAACUAGCUCAGAAACAGUAACAACAGACAACCAACCCAUCCUUGUGAAUAAUCCCUCAAAUUCGAAGUGUUGAAGUUGAGAAAAAUUAAUGUUUCUCCCGGGAACUACUCGUCUUUGAGCAAAAUGUUGCUUGUAUCGCUGGUAGUCCUCCAUAGUACGGAAGAAGGUGGUGUUAAAUUGAGCCUUUCAACAUGUCUCUAGCAAAGAUAGCUCAGUUGGGCACUUACCCAGUGCCCUGGAGCUUGCAAGCUCUUGCCUGGAGGCCAUAAAAGAUGGAGACAGAGCAAGAUGAAGAGAAAGAAUUGGUAGAAGCUCACACCUGAAAUCCUGACGAACGAAAAUGGAGAGGGAUCUAUGCUAGAGCUGACUGUGACGCACCUAAGGAAAAAAAAACCACCCAAAAUGGAAACCCUAGCCUUCAAAGUCUUCAAAACUCUCCCAAAAUCAGGUCAAUUGGUACAAAACACAUUGAAAUCGAUCUCUAGAAGCCAAAACCAGAAAAACCCUGAAGAACGGAGGAGAACAAUGUAGAAAAAGGAGCAUGAGAGCCUCUUAAAAAUUCCUAGCCCUGACGAAGUAGUAGACCAGUCCACAAUCGGUCGACCACCUAGUCGACGCGGUCAAUGAUUUUAACUUUCCAAUUUUUGCAUACUUUUUCAUUUUGUGAUUCUCCCCCUGCCCUUUUUAGUUGAAAUCCCCAAUUUUUUAUCCCAAUGCCAAGGGAAUUUUGAUUUUUGAUAAAAAAAAAUUGAUCAUUAUCUAAGUAUAUGUCUAUAUGAUGCAUAUGACAUGAAAUUUAUGCAAUAAGAAGGCAUUUUCAUCAAGAAUUCAUUAAGCAAACAUUAUAUCAUAAUGAAAUCACCCCUAGUUGGCUUCUAAUAUCAACAAAUUGUUCUUCACUUAGAGGUUUUGUAAAAAUAUUGACAAGUUGAUCUUUAGUGCUUACAAAUUCAAGUAUUAUGUCACCCUUUUGUGCAUGAUCUCUAAGAAAGUGAUGUCUAAUCUCUAUAUGCUUAGUCCUAGAGUGUUGCACAAGAUUUUUUUGAUAUACUUAUGGCACUAGUGUUUUCACAUUUAAUGGGAACAUGCUCAAAAGAUAAAUCAAAAUCACUAAGUGUUUGUUUCAUCCCAAGGAUUUGUGCACAACAUAAAUUGGAUGCUAUGUAUUCAACUUCCGUCGUUGACAAAGCUACCGAAUUUUACUUCUUACUAUGCCAUGAAACAAAUGAGUGUCCUAAGAAAUGACAAGUGCCACUAGUGUUUUUUCUUUCAUCCUUACAAUCGGUAAAAUCAUCACCCAAAAAACCAAUUAAUUCAAAGUUAUCACUCUUAGGAUACCAUAAGCCUAUGUCCAUUGUCCCUUUCAAAUACUUGAGGAUCCUUUUUAUGACACUUAAGUGAGAUUAUUUAUGAUAAGAUUGAAAUCUAGCACACAAGCAUACACUAUACAUAAUAUCGGGUCUACUAGCAGUCAAGUAUAACAAAGAACCUAUCAUGCCUCUAUAUACAAUAGAGUCAAUAGAUUUACCUUUCUCAUUCUUAUCAAGUUUGAUGAUGAGCUCAUUGGAGUCUUCAUUGUUUUGACUUCCUCCAUGUUAAACCUUUUGAAAAUAUCUCUUAUAUACUUUGCUUGAUUGAUGAAGGUUCCUUCCUCUAGUUGCUUGAUUCGAAGUCCAAUGAGUGAUCUAUUUGUUCUUGUGUGUAGCCUUGCUUCUUGACUGAUUGAGUAAACUUAUCAAACUAGGCCCUUAGUUAUUAUUUAAGGUCGUAUAAAGACUUUCUUAGUUUGCACACCUUUGAAUCGUAGUUUCCAUCAAAUCCUGGAAGAGAGUCCAUGUACAUUUUUUUUUCUAAAUCUCCAUUUAGGAAUGUGCUCUUAAUGUUUGAUUAUUGGAGUGUCUAAUAUAAAUUUAUUGCAAUUGAUAGGAGUACUUAUAUCGCAUUCAACUUAGCAACUGGUGCAAAAGUCUUAGAGUAGUCCACACCAUAGGUUUGGGUAAACCCUUUUGCCACUAGUCGAGCUUUGUAUCUUUCCAAGGUGUCAUCUGCAUCAUACUUGAUUGUAAAAACUCAUUUGCAGCCAACUGUUUUCUCUCCUUUGGGCAGAUCAACUACUUCCCAAGUCUCAUUUUUAUUAAGAGCCCUCAUUAUGGUGACAAAUUUUCAUAAGAUAUGAAGUUAGGCAUAGGAUGCUUUCUGCAAGUUUUGAAACCUUUACGAAAAGUAAUAGAAACAUCUAAAUUUUUUAUUGACUCAAACUUGAACUUAGAAAGGCUUGACACCAAAGGAAGUUUACAUGACAACUCAUCUGAGUAACUAGUAAAGUUUUGAUUUGUACCUGGGUUAGACUCAUGGAGUUGUUGCAAAGUUGAAUAUUCUUUUUUUUGAAGAUGUUUCUUCCUUGAAUAGACAUGAAGCUCAUAUUCUGUUUUACUUGUUUUUUCUUUCAUUUCCAUUUUUUCAUGCUUGUGUAACGACAUUAAAGGAUUGGUUCCAUUAAUUUCAUCUUGUAAACUACCUGAGUCUUGAUCUAUGGUUGUAGUGUUUUAAUUCAAGUGUUGAUCUAUGGUUAUAGUGUUUUGGUUUAAGUGUUGAUCUGUGGCUACAAUGUUUCGAUUUAGGUACUGAUUUAUGGUUGUAAUGUCUUGAUUUUCUAGAGCUGAAGGAAUAGGGUGAUCAAGGUAAAUUCAACUAAAAUUGGUGGUUUUGGUUCUAUUUGGAAAACAUCCCCAACACAAAAAUCUUCACUCUCACUCUCCCAUUGAAAAUGAUUAUUAUCAAAAUAUGAGAUUGUCUCAAAGAAAGUCACAUUCAUACACAAACAAUAUUCUUGAAAUUGGGUCAAAACAUUUAUAUCCUUUCAGUGUUGGUGAGUAGCCAACAAAGACACAUUUCCUAACUUUAGGAUCAAGUUUCCUACGAUUGUGGCUAUGAAUAUGGACAAAUGUAGUGCAUAAAAUUUUUUCUAGUGAAAUAUUAGUGACAAGACAUAACGUGAACAAUUUUUAAAAGCAUUCAUAUGUUUUUGAAAAUGCAAAACUCUUAUUAGCAUUCACUUAAUAAAAAAUGUAGUUGUAAGAACAGCUUCACCACAUAAAUAUUUAGGUGUCUUAGUUGAAAAAAGCAAGGCUCUAGCAAUUUAAAAAAGAUGCUAUUUUUUUCUUUCAACUACUCCAUUUUGUUGUGGAGUGUCAUUACAAGAACUUUGACGAACAAUUUUUUUUUAUUCAAAAAAAUUCCCUAAUAUUUUAUUAAAUUAUUCCUUUCCAUUGUCACUUCUAAACAUUUGAAUUUUUUCUUGGAAUUGUGUUUGUACCAUAUUGAAUUUUUUUUUGAAAACUUGUUCAACAUCAUAUUUUUCUCUUAACAAAUACACUCAUGUUAUCUUUGUAUGAUCAUCAAUGAAUGUAAUGAACCAUUUUUUUCUUGAAAGUGUAGUAACUGUAGCAGGGCCCUAAACAUCGCUAUGAAUGAUAAAAAAAGGUUUGGAGUAUUUAUUUGGUUGUAGAGGAAAAAGAGAACGGUGGUGUUUUACCAAUUCACAAAUUUCACAUUGAAAUGAAGAUAGAUUUUUAUUUAGGAAUAGAUUCGAAAACAAGUACUUUAGAAUCCUGAAAGUUUGGAUGUCCUAACCUAAAAUGUUAUAACAUAAUCUUAUUCAUACGAGCAACAAAAAGAUAUUUGAAACAAGUACCAUGAGCUUGUCCUUCUAAUUCAAAUCCACCUUCAAAGAAAUAGAGUCCUCCACUUUGCUUAGUACUGCAAAUCAUCUUCCUCGAGUCCAAAUCCUGAAACAUAUAAGAAGAAUGGAAAAAAAUGAGCCUGACAUUUUAGAUCAUGAGUUAUUUUAUUAAUAGAAAAAAGAUUACAUGACAAGUUAAGAACAUGAAAGACAUUAUGCAGAAUAAUGGAAGAAGAAAUAACAAUUGAUCCUUUCCUAGCUAUGGCUGAGAAAGAUCCAUCUGCUAUUUUUAUUUUUUGGUUCCCCAUACAAGGAUUAUAUGAGGGAAAUAAUUUAGAAGAUUUGGUCAUAUGGUCAAUUGCUCCUGAGUUUAUAAUCCAUGGGCAAUUAAAAUUGGGUUUGACAUUAUAGAGGGAAGUGGUAAGGUAGUUUACCUUUCUAGGCUAUAGAACAUAAGGAAGAAGGAUUUAUAGUAGGACUCGAGGACUGGAACAAUUUACACAAGUUGUUUAUUUUUCCUUCGUCAAUGGAAGUUGAUUUGAAAAAACUUGGUUCCCUUGAUCUUCAUUUGAGACUUGGAAUGCACGACCAUCUCCCACAUUAUUCUUUUUCCAAUUCGAAGGCUUCCCAUGUAGCUUCCAACAUGUCUCACGCGUAUGCCAUGGCUUCUUACAAUGAUCACACCAUGGUUUUUCUCCUUGAUUGAAGUUUCUUUUUUCCACAUCUGCUUUUGGUCAUUUUGUUAUGAGAGUUGAACUCUUAGUUUCAGGGUUGGUCUUUGGUUCUUGCUUAUGUAGGAUGAUUCUUUGGUCAGACUCUUCUCUCCUGAUCUUUGAGAAUACUUCUCAAAGACUAGGGUGAGGUUUUCAUCCUAGAAUUCAGUCUCGCACUUCAUCUAAUUCUCUGUUAAGACCUACUAGGAAUAUAUACACCCUGUCAUCUUCCUUCCUCUUCAUAUAUUGCAUACUAUCAAUGGGAGAAUCCCAUUUCUCUUCAUAGCAUUGAUCUAACUCUUGCCACAAAGUUACCAUUUCAUUAUAGUACACAACAACUUCUCUAUUUCCUUGUGUAGACUACCACAACUUAGUCUUCAAUUCAAAUAUUUGAGAUGAAUUCUCCAUAUCUGAAUAAGUGUCACGAACAACAUCCCACACUUCUUUUGCUAUUGGAAUGAACAUAAAUGACUUUCCAAUACUCGACUCCAUCGAGUUGAUGAGCCAUGCUAUUACCCUGGAGUUUUCAGAUCUCCAACUCUUCAGGCGUGGAUCAUUGUUUGUUGGUUUUUUCACCUCACCGAUCAAGUGACCAAGCUUCCCUUUUUCGUCAAUUAUGAGCUCCACUGUUUGAGCCCAUUCCAAGUAGACAGUCAAUUCAAGGGAAUUUGAUGAAACAAUAGACAAGUGUUCUGCUUCAUUAGAUAGUGCAGCAAAGUUGCUUUGAAUGCUCUCUAUUGCAUCCCUUGUAGUUGCUGAGCCUCUACCAGCUCCAGCCAUAGCAAUUUUCACCAUAAAAAACUUUGAUUACACCAAAGCUUUGAUACCAUGAAAAUUUUGAAAGGGAAAAUUUUUUUUCUUUUUUUUUUUGAAAAAUUGAAAUUUGAAACUGAUUACAUCAAAUAAAUAGACUCAACAAGAGUUGAGGUCUGCCACAAAUUUCUCAACUGCAUUAGCUAACAAAACAAAACAACUAACUCCUAAAAAUAUGGAAACAAACAAAUUUCUUUAUCUUAAAUAAUUCAAAUUUAAAAUUCCAAUUUUAUUAAAUAGAAAAAAGAAAGUAGAACUCUUAACUUUUAGCUCCAGCUAACUCCUAACAUUUCAACAUUAAUAAUAUUUAAAUUAUAUAUUUAUGACGUUACCAGUUUAACUAGGAUUGAAUCGCUGGUUCGACAAAUGAAUUGUGAACUAAUAAUUUUUCUAGUUCAAUGAAUACUAUGAUCUUAAAAACAAUGAAAAAAAUUAUUGUGCAUAUUGAGAAGCUACAUAUCUAUUAUAAAAUAAAAAUUAUUCACAAAUAGAAUAUAUGAAAACAAGAAAAUAAGAACCUAUUUAGCUUAGUUUUUAAAAUAGUUUUCUGUUUUUAAAAACAGAAAAUAGUUUUAAAAAUUCGUAACACUGUUUGGUUAUUGUUCUCUAUUACCAGUUUUUAAAAACAAAGUGAAAUAAAGAACAACUUUUAGAAAACAAGUAAAAAUUGUUUUCACUAGUUUUUAAAAACAAUGGAAAGACAUAUACACUCUAUUAUUUCUCUUCUACAUUUAUUUUUCAAUUUUUUUUUGCUAAGCAAAUUAACUCCAAAUUAAACAAAACUUAAUGCGUUGGAUUUGUUAACAAGUCUAUUAAUUUUUAAAAAUAAUUUAAAACUUAAAUACUAAACUCAUUAAUACUAGAAAUUUAUUAAUAUAAUAAAAUAUCUGUUUUCAAACAUAUAAUAAAAUAGUAUAUUUUCUACUAAAAAUAUAAUUUAUGAUUUUAUUAUAAUAUUACUAUUUAUGUUUUACUAAAAAAUAUAUAUAUUUUAAUUUAUUUAUAAUUAAAAAAUUAUUUCAUUUUCAAUAAGACUUCAAUUAAAUUUAAUUAAUUAAUAUUAUAUAAAUUGAAUUUAAAAUGUUUUUUUUUUAAAAAAAAAACAAUUUAUCCGAAUAGGCCUUAAUAUUCUACUUGGAAGCAAUGCUAAAAUUAUAUUUAUCAUAGCUAGAAAUUGCAUAAUUAUUUGACUAUUUUUCUUGUUUAAUUAUUAUUAGUUAAUAUUGUGAUUUUUUUUUGUAUAAUGUUUUAUUUCCAGCUUAGAGUAUGUUACUUUAAUUAGAUUAUAUAUAACUUUCAAAUAAUGUUAAACUUCACUAAACUUAAAUAUAUUGCUCUUGAUAUUUCAAGGAAAAAAAAAACUAUUUAGUUUGGAUACUCAACAUGAGAUUCAUCCAAAUAUUAUGAUUCUUGGUUUAACCAUUAAUAAAGGAAAUAAUAUACCCUCUCUAGGAUCAUUCAAAAGCUUUGAUAUUCCUUUGUUAUCAUACUGAUGAGGGAUUGAAAAGUUAGUACAUCAUAAUAAAGGACUUUUUCACUUUUAGGAAUAAAUUGAAAAGAAAAUAUGACCAUUAAAAGAUUAGUAAUCUCUUGAAAGCUUGUUAUAAGUGCACUUAAAACUAAAAGAUUUCAAAUUUAUUGGUGAAUAUAACUAUGUUUGAUUUUAAAUUAAGUUCCAAAUAAAGUUAUAUGAAGGAAAAAUAAUUGAAAAUGACAUAUUGAUGGUCACAAUGAUUGCUUGAUGUCUAACUAUCCCAAAUUCAUAAAACCAUAUUACACUAGACAUUUGUUCGAACCAAAACAAUUUAGAAUGAAAAACUAUGCGACAUAACUUUCUUAAUAUCGACCCACAUGGACUCAUAUGAAUAAGCCAACAAAAUUAAGGUAAAUUAUCUCAAUUUAAGCUCUGAAUCUAAAAUAUCAAUGGUAAAUUUCUUAAAUGGGAUUAAUUAGUUUCACUACAUGUCAUCCUUGUUUUCUAAUAAAAAUAAUUGGUCCUUGCAAAAAAUGAAAGUCGGUUGAUAGAAAAAUCUUCCAUAUGAGAUGAGUUUGAAGAAUUAACUUUAUCCUCUUAAAUCAUUAAAUGAAAAACAAAAGGUCCAGUUUUGAUAUCAAUUGAAAAGUAAGGCUAAGAAAAACACUUGAGAGUGGGAGAGAAGGGAGGUUGAAUUGGAUGACUAAAACCUUUUGAAAAAUAGUUAAAUUAAAAAUACAAAUCACCUAAUCGCAAAUGCAGUAAAUUAAAAAGCAAAGAGAAGAGGAAUGCAAAUGCUUUUUAUAAUGUUUUGAUAACCUGUCUACGUCCACUCUUCUCAAUCUCUUAAUCAAGUGAAUGUUUCACUAUCCAAGGCUUCAACCUAAUCCUUCAAUCUUUAACACUUGGAUUCAUUAGAUCCAAUGUACAUUAUAAUCCCUUCAAGUUUUCAACCAAAUUGAAGUCUCAACCACUUAAAGAGAAUAUGAGAAUUUAAUAUUCUUAUCCUAGUAAAAAUUCAGUUCAAUACAAAGAAAAGAUUAUGAUCGAUUUCAAAUGGUGCACUAAAGGAUUAGCAAGUGAAGGAUUCAAUGCACUCAAGUGAAAAGCUUUAAAAGAGAGAAAGUAUAUGAAAAACAAUUCAAUGCAAGUAUUAUCUUUUCUAUAAUGUAAGAGAGCUAUUCAAUUUAUAGAAAAGUAGGUGGGGUACCUAAAACAACAAAAAAGUCGUUGGCCGAUUGAGCUUUGACUUGGCUGGUCAACUAGUCAUUGGUGAAAUUAACAUUUUAUAGGUGAUCAUUGGUGUUUUUAAUGUUCAACUAGACCUUGACUAGACCUCGGUCGACCAGACACCAACUACUAGAAAAGAGAGAAAAUUUUGUGCAAGCAUGACUAUUUCUCAAUUGGGAUAGUCUAAUAAGUUGAACUAGUUCCUUAAUCGAUUAGACUAGUUUAGGGCACUCUUGACCGAUUGCACAAAAAACUACCAAAAAUGCUUAUGUUUUAAGUUUUAAUCUUUCAAUAACUUAAGCAUUUCAUUUAGACACCUUUAUAAGAUGGUUUUUUUUUCCUUAAGAGUUUAAUCUAAGGUUUUGAAGUAAAACACACAUUCAUUCAAUUUAAUGAUAAAAUGUCACUUUUAAGUUUAUAUGAGGAUGAUAAAAAAUAUUUGGAAGUGCAUAAACAUAUUCUAUCCUAAGUGCACUGAUGGGAUUUUACAUAUGGUCUUAGACAACUUAAGUCUUCAAGGAUCCAUUCUUCAUGACUUUCGAAUCUCUUAUAAGAAUAUUCAAGUUUUCUUUUGAAUUUAUUAAUAAAACUUGAAAACUUCACUUGUGUCAUGACUUCACUCAAUUACUAUGUUGUAUUGUCUCUUAGCCUUAAGAGAAUAUUGAUCUUGUGUUAAAGUUAGCAAUGACUUUGACCUACAAGUGAGAUUCUAAAGUGAUCAAAUAUUCCAUAUGGAUUGGGUCAUUAUUGAUAGAAAUUGUAGGAUCUCAAGCACUACCAACUCUCCUAAAAGCAAUUACUGUCAAGAAAUGCGUAUACUCUAACCUUAUAGUGCAUUCACCCAAACGCCCAUGACAUUUGAGUACAAGGGAAAUUGAUAAACGCGAUCAACCCUUCGAUCUAUCAACAAUCUCCCCCCUAACGACACCCUUGGGUUUCGAACUCGUGACCUUGACUCUAAUACCACUUGUAGGACCUCAAGUGCUAUCAAUGUUCCUAAAAUCAAUUGCUGUCAGGAAAUGCACAUACCUUAGCCUUAUAGUACAUUCACUUAAGUGCCCACAACAUUUGAACACAAUGAGAGUUGAUGGGCACGACCAAACCUCCGGUCUACCAACAGAAGCUAAUAGCAACAAGUAUUCUCAAUGGAGGUACCAUAAUAUCUCAUGGACUUUAAGACAAUGUAUCCUUUUGGAUGAUCUAAAGGACGUGUAUUUAGGUAAGCUAUGGUCAUAGUAGUUUUUAAUUUGGAACUUGACAUAAGCUCUGUUUGAUGUAGGACUUAUCAAUUAAUAACAAAUAGGAGUAUUUGUAACUCAAAGCUAGUAUAAGAAAUCUUGAGAGGUUGAUAAUUUUCACCUUGUUAGAUUACGCACACCAAUUCAUAGGAAGACCAUACAUAGUGGAUGGCAAGUCAUAGACUUGAGCAUUUAGUGUUUCCUUGUAAUAUACAUAGGGUAUUGAAUAUAGUUGACUCUUUAUAAUGGGUUGAUGAGUUAGCUACAAGAUUAGAUUUUGAGAGAGCCAAUACUAUCCUAUGGGUCUAUUAGGACCUUGUUCAAACUUAUAUACCUUGAUGGCAUGGUUUAUGAGGGUUGGAUUGAUUGUUUGUUCACUUAUAUGCAUAAAGGCUUUUUAGUAAUUGUGUAAGGUUGUAUAGGGGUUGGUGAGUGACAUCUCUAGAAUGGGCUAAUUGAUUAAUUAUAGCCCUGAUGGGUCAGUUAAUCAAUUAAAACCUUUUCUGGGCUAGAUUCCUAAGCCCAAGAUGUGUUUAAGUAAUUUAAACCUAGUAGGAACCUUAUAAAUACCCCUUAUGGGGUUAGGGUUUUAGUCUUCAACCUCCAUUCUCCUUGCAUUCCAAAGAAAGUCAUAACCUCCACCUUCUAGACUUUUACAUCAUAUUCUACUUUCAAAUUAUUGACAUUCUUUACCACAAUGAUUAAUCUGGGAACAUCCAAAUCUAGGUAAGUUCUCUAAUAUCAUUUUAUAGAUUCUAAAAUUGUUUGUAAAUGCAUAUUUUUCAUUAUGCUUAGGAUUUAGAUAAGCUUAAGGAGAAUUGCAUGCGCCUAACCUGGUUCUAGGAUAAGAAAUGGAGUAAUUCCAUAUUUCCUACAUAAUAUGCAUGUCAUUUUGCCAAAUCAAGAUCAAAAUCAAAAUAAAUUGCUUCUAUUAUAUAUAUAUUCAAGUAAAUGUUACCUUGGCCUUUGAUUAUACCCAAGAAUAGGAAUAUGUUCUGAUUGGAUUGAAAUCAAGACCAUGGAACUCAAAAAAGAUAUUAAUAAAGAAUGUAUUCUAGAAAAGUAUACCCACAUUUUUUCCAUGAAAACUAAUACAAAUCAAGAUUCUUACCGAUUGAUUUGAUUAUGUCUUGAGAAUAAUACAUGAUAUGAGGUACAAAAUUAAGAAUAUCUACGGUGCAUGUCUCUCUAAAGAAUGAGUUAGAAAGAAACAUUUAUAGAAAGGUAGAAUUAUGAUUUGAAAAUUGGUGGAGUGUAGUCACCAAGAGACAAGUGUCGUUUCUACAUGUCUGCAUUGUUAGCAUUAAUAUAAGCAUGAUAAAUCAUUUUUCCAUUAGAAACCCAAGGAAAACAAAGUGAAGCUAAGAUAAUUUAAUUAUUAGUAGGGUUUUCUUCCUCUUUUUCUCAUCCUUUCACAUAGCUUCUCUGCUUAGCAUUCACUACUGAAAGAUCAGAGUAUUGCCAAUUUACUUUUGUGAUGGAUUUAUGACAUCGCAAAUUUUUAACACACACCCUCUAUCAUAAAUUGAAUUAAUCGUUGCUUAUAUAAUUUCUUAUCAAUAGUAAUUACAAUAGUAAAUAUCCAUUAGAAAAAGUAUAGUAUUCUAAAGAAUUUAAGCCAUUGUAAAUCGAUUAACAUACUUUAUUAUAAAAGAAAUUUACUAUAAAAAAAAUAAAUGACUUUUCACAAACAAGUCUUUUAAUGAAAAUUAUUGUUAAAAAAAAUAAUGUUAUUAUAAUCUAUACCAGCUAAUACAAAUACCGAUAUACAUAAUUUGUUUUGAAAAUAAUUUUUAUCCUAUGGAUAUGAAUUCUUUUAAUAUAUAUAUAUAUAUAUAUAUAUCUGACAAGUGACUAGACAAUAUAAUGAUGUUUGUUUUUUCAAUUUCAUACAAUAUCAAUGAAUACCGAUUUAUAACAUAAAAUAUUUUUUAAUCAAAAUAUUUUUAAUAUUUUCAUAGCUACUUUUUUUAGAAGAAAUUAUUUAAAAUAUUAAUAUAUUUGAAAUAUUUUUAGAAUAUAAAUAAAGUCUUUUUGUAUGAUAUUGAUAAUAUAUUUUAUUUAUAUUCUAUUCUUAUAUUUUGUAAAUUUAAGAAAAAAUUACAAUUUUUUUAAUUUUUUGAUACUUCAUUCUUAUAUAAAAGUGUAAUUAUUUGGAAUUUUUUUCAUCUAAUUUUUGAUGAAAAAUCUUUAAAAAGAAGUCAUUUGACAUUAUGAUAUAAUUUAGAGUUAAUAUUUCUUACAAAAUAAUUAAAAAAUCUAAUGACUAAAUUAAGCUAUAAAUAAAAAAUAAAUAAAAAAAUACAAGAAUGAUUAUUAUUAUUAUUUUAGAGAAUGAGAAACAUUUUUUUUGACAUUUACGACGGGUCAUAUACUUACAUUAGUAUAUUCAUUGGGCUGGGAGCUGAAUCCUUUGGAGGAUUGGCAAGGAAUAGUUGAAAACAUGAUUGAGAGAGUUUGGAGGAUUGAUAAGGCCGGAGUAGUUGAAAAGUUGGCGACAGAGUUUUCAGAUGUUUAAAGAAAGAGUUUAAUUAACUGUAGAUUUAACUUUAUGCAUGUUGUAUGAAUAUAUUCUCAAAACAAUAUUCGAACUUUUCAGCUUAUAUUUUUGGAAGUUUGCUUUGGAUUAUUGGUGAUGUGAUCAGAACGUCCCCAGGCUAUUAUGCCAAUGUUGACUCCGGGUCAGAAAGGUGGCCGACUUUUGGAGGAAGUGAGAAAAACGAAGUAGUUAAAGAGUGAGACGAGAGUUCCCACCUACUAACUAUAAUGUAGUGGUGAAAAUCAGUGAGCUAUUUCCACCGACAAGAUCAAGGUUAUGUUUGGUAUUUUUUUUUAAAUGGUUUUUGAAAAUAAUUUUUAUUAUUUUAAGGUAUAAUUUUAUUUGAAUUUUAAGGUUUUGUUUGACAAUUUUUUUUAAAUAGAUUUUGAAAAUAAUAUUUAAUUAUUAUCAUUUAAUUAUAUUAUUAUUAUAUUUGGUUUGAAGUGCAUAAAAUUUUAAUUAUUUUUACCAUUUUUUAAUUAAUUACAGAUAAAUUUAUAUUUCAUAUAAAAGAUAGGAUAUUUUUACAUACUACGACAAAAAAAGCCUGUACAAUUACAAGAAAAUCCAUACCGAAACCGAUUCAAGGUUAAACCUUUGUCUUUCACUUGUCAUGGUUAUACGGGGCAAGGUUGAAGUGUACAAAAAUAGAUUUUUUGGUGUGAUUUAAAAAAAAAAUGUUUGUCUAAAGUUAAAAUAAUUCUUAUUUUUAAAAAAAUGACUUUUAAUCAAGGAUAAAAAUAUCGGCAAUCACGGAUAUAUCAGUACUUCGAUUUUACGGAUAUAUUGACGGAUAUUUUGGAAAAAAAUUUAGUAGGCCUAAAAUUGUUAAAAACCCAUGGAAAUACAAGAAAAACCUCAUAAUAAUAUAAUUAGAAGUAUAAUAAACAUUUUAAAGUUGUUUUAUUAAAGAAUUUGAUAUAUAUAUAUAUAUAUAUAUAUAUAUAUAUAUAUAUAUAUAUAUAAAUGAUAUAAUUUGUGAUAUUAGAUGUAAUUAUAUCAUGUCGAUCUAUAAGAAAUGUUAAUUUUGUAUUUGUACACUCAUUAUGAAGUCACAUAAAAUACUUCAUUUCAUUAAAUAUCAAUAAUUUGUACAUAUUACAUUGCAAUGUCUCUUUAGUACCAAAAUGAGGAUCGAUGUGGUUCAAUGGGAUUGGUAGAUGAAGGAACCUCGUCUUGUUGUUAGAGACAAUAUUGGUACCAACUCAACGGCUCGAUAAUAUUGGUUAAAAAUUCUAACAUGCCAUGCAUAUAUCUCUUGAGUCAUGCCCACUGCCUCUACAUGGAUAAGAUACUCAAAGUUCACCCAUGUGUUAAUGUCAAAUCCUCCUUCCAUCUGAUAUGGAACUUGGUAUCACAUUUGUGUGGAAGGGGAGCAACGCAGCAUACCAUACUCUUCAUUGGUUGAACUCGAAGGUUGACCAUAACUCAUCACAUGAAGAGGGUAGACGUUAGCCUCAUUCGAGGAGUCACUAAAUUGAGUCCUUGUACUCAUAGAUUCAAAACUCCCUAAAAGUAACUCCUCGUUAUAUGCUUCCAUUGUUCGUUCUCUUCCUUUAUGGGGCUUCCCAAUAACUCCUAUGCUUGGAUUAGCUCUUCUAGAGCCAUGGUCUUCAUCUAGUGUGCAAUGUGUGAAAUCAUUUUCACAGGUAAAUUAGCUAAUUGGAUAUUGACUUUGUUGACAUUCCCAAAUAUCUCCUCCCGCAUUAUCACCUCCAUCAUCAGUUCCUCUUCUUGAACCAUCAUAACCAGAAGUAGAAGUACCUACAACACUAGGUCUACUACUAUGGCCAACACUUGUGGAUUCAACCUCUUGGUGGGAAUUCAAUGCUGCCUGAAAUGAAUCAUCACUAUCUUUGCUAAAACUUUUAGAGUGAACUUUUUCGGACAACACACGUUCAACAUUAACUCCAAAUUCUCGAGCAUGAGCGACAAUUCAUGGAUCAGGAUUUCUAACUUUGUCAUCCAAGUGUAUAGGCCUAACCCAUUGGAACAACUAAUUAUCUUCUUCUUCACCCAUCUUGGUUGAAAUGUUAAGAAAAUCAAGGUAAUCUUUUUCAGCAACUCAAUCAUUUUCUACCUCCAUAUCGCGUAACUUUAGCCUCAUAUUAUAGUAACAAAAAACUAAUUGCUCCAAUCGAAGCUAAGCCAAACGAUUUCGUUGCUUUGUAUGGAUGAGAACGAACGUGCUCCAAUUUCUCUCACAGGCAGAAGAUGACGUAGUUUUAUGAGAGAACUUUGAUGGAUAACUUUCUCAAUGCAUGUGUUUGAUUCCCAUACAUGAACCACCAUUCAGUUGCAACCAAUUUGAUAAUUAUAUAAAUACUUAUGUGGUGAAUUUACAAUAAUUAUAAUCAAUUUUUUCCUAUAAAUACUCAUCGGGCACCAUGGUUGACCUUGCUGUAAUCGCUGCUCGAUCACCACAUCCCUUUUUUGCAUCUCGAAAAAGCACAAGUUAUGUAUUCAACAUUUAAUUUGUUAAUAUCAUAUUUGUUUAGUAAACAUUCAAAUAAAUUGAUGAAUAAAAUUAUUAUUUUAUUGACAAAAAUAACAGUUUUUUAUUUACCUCAUUUCCAAAUUGACCAAGCAAUUCAGUAGUUGGGUCUAAUUUUACAAAAACGUCAUAGACUGCUUGAAAUAGUUCUGGAUCACUACCAACUCCACGCUUAUAUUGAAAUCUUGGAUUUAAGAAGUAUGCUACAAUAAAAUUAAGUAUAUUUAGUAUUUUGUUAAAGAAAAUUAAAUACAAAGUAAAAACUUAUAAAGAUAGAUAGUACUUAAGUACUUGCUGCAUGAAGUGGAUGUUUUAGUGUUUUCUCCCAACGAUCUUUUAUUAUUUUGAAGAUCCAAUCUCUAGUUCUUUCAUGAAUAAGGUUCUCUUUCAUCAUGUGCAUAAGUUCGUACACAGUUGACAUCGUGGGAACAACUUUAGAAUCCAUAAGUCGAAGCACCACAUAUAAUGGCUCAUAUAAUGAAACUAUAUUUGCCACUCUGUCCCAAUGUGCAUGGUCAAACAAUAAUUGCUCUAAAUCUCAUCCAAUUUUUGUAUGAAUGAACUUAUGUUGUGCACAUUCAUCACUCAUAAACAAUUUUUUCAAAUCAACCAUUUUUUUAAGAAGAGUAUCAGGAGCAAUAUAAUUGGUAGCAAACCUUGUAGCUCUUGGUCGUAUAAUGUCUCCACCACAAUAAUUUCUCAUUUGUGCAAGUAACCAACCAUGGUUGUAAAUGAAGUUAGUUAUUUUGCGAGCAUUGUUUAUAACAUCUAUAACACUAGGUCUUUUACCAAUGUCUUCAAAGAUUAAGUCGAUGCAGUGCGCCGCACACGAAGUCUAAUAUAAGUUAAAUUUCUUCAUCAAUAGUUUCCCUGCUUUCACGAACGCCGACCUGUUAUCUAUGACAAUUUGGACCACAUUUUCUUAACCGACUUAUUUGAUAAUAAUCUUCAAUAGCUUGUAUAUAUACUUGUGGUUUUUGAUAUUGUUCGAUGCAUCAAUUGACUUAAGGAACACCGUGGUCCAUUUUGAAUAAACCAUGAAAUUAAUAAUACUUAAUUUUGUGGGCCCUGUCCAUCCAUCUGACAUUAUUGUGCACCCAUAUGUCUUCCAUUUUUCUCUUUGCUGGUUCACAUAAACUUCCAUUUCUUUGUACUCCAUUUCCAAGUACUUGUUAUUUAUUUCAUAUGGAGAUGGAGGUUCGAUUCCCAUUCUCGCACUUCAUAUAUAACAAAUAUAUAAAACAUGACACAAAAAACUAUACUUACUAGAAGUCUGAAACAAUAUAACAAUUCAAAAAUUAGUAAUUACCUGUUUGUUGUGCACCAAUAAUCAUAUUCUUGAAGUGAUGAGACUUUGCUUUUUGGGGUGUGAUGCUAUCAUAAAUGAAAAAUUUUCUAAUUAAGUGUCCCAUUGUUUCUUUAAUUAAACCACUGUUCAAUAUAUCUUUGAUAUUUUUUUGUCUUGCUGUAAAAGACUUAUAGAGUGAAGGGGCGAUAGGGGGUGAUUGGUUCGAAUGUUGCAUACUUUGUGAUUUCUAUAUCGUCAUCGAUGUACCAGUAGAUCGUGAAGACUUCCCCGUUUUACAUUUGUUUCCUACAAUAUUCUCAUAUUGUUGACAUUCCCAUUAUGUCGCUUUCGAGGCAUGAACUGCAAAUCGAUUUGCAUCCCACUCAUUUGGGUACAUAUCUGUCAGAUACAUACACACAUCUUCAUCCUUAGCAUCUUCAUCAUCAUUUUCAUCUAUUAGAUGUGUAUCACUAGCCCCCAUUGUGCCAUGUAAUUGAGCAUGAAUCUCUUGAAUAUCUGCAACUUUCUUUGCUUUCGCUUUAUUUUUGUCAUGCACCAUUAAUCGUAUCUCUUUUUUCACUUCGAGAGGCACUCUCAAACAAUUUUUGGUGUUGUUAUGCGGGUCGUUAUGCGUUAAAUGGAACUUGAAUCAUGUGAUACCUCCACUUUUCAUCAACAAACCACAGAAAUUACAAAUUGUCCCAUUUCUAUUCCCCUCUACUGGUGAACAAUACUUCCAAGUUGGAUCUCGCCUUGGCAUGGGAAGACCACCUCCACUAGCCAUGAUAAAUCUAUUGCAAAAAAAAUACACUUGAAUGUGAUUUCAAUGUAAACAAAAAUUAAGUAAUCAUUUAAAUUUAACAUGUUGCAAUGGGUGUGAAAAGAAAAUUAAAUAAUAAUGUAAAAUGAGCAUAUUCCAAAUAUACUAAUUUAUGCUAAUAGCUAAAUUAAUUAAAUAAUUUAACUAAGUUUACUAAAUCUAAAUCUAUGAGAAAUCUACAAAAUAUACUAAUUAAUUAUAAUUGAAUGUGAAAAUAAAGUUAAAUAAUCAUUUAAUAUGGAAAUUUUUUUGAAUCUAAAUCUAAAUGUAUGAAAAGUUUACUAAAUAUAAAAAUUAACUAUAAUUGAAGGUGAAAAUAAAUCACAAUAAUCAUAAAAAAUGAACAUAUUUGAUAUUUCAAAUAUACUAGUUCAUGUUAAUUAAAUUAAUUAAAUAAUUUAGCUAAGUUAUUUUUUUGAAUCUAAAUCUAAUUCUAUGAAAAAAUUACUAAAUAUAAAAAUUAACUAUAAUUGAAUGUGAAAAUAAAUCACAAUAAUCAUAAAAAAAUGAACAUAUUUGAUAUUCCAAAUAUACUUGUUCAUGUUAAUUAAAUUAAUUAAAUAAUUUAGCUAAGUUAAUUUUUUGAAUCUAAAUCUAAUUCUCUGAAAAAAUUACUGAAUAUAAAAAUUAACUAUAAAUUGAAUGUGAAAAUAAAUCACAAUAAUCAUAAAAAAUGAACAUAUUUGAUAUUCCAAAUAUACUAGUUCAUGAUAAUUAAAUUAAUUAAAUAAUUUAGCUAAAUUAAUUUUUUGAAUCUAAAUCUAACUCUAUGAAAAAUUUACUAAAUAUAAAAAUUAACUAUAAUUGAAUAUAAAAAUAAAUCACAAUAAUCAUAAAAAAUGAACAUAUUUGAUAUUCUAUAUAUACUAGUUCAUGUUAAUUAAAUUAAUCAAAUAAUUUAGUCAAGUUAAUUUUUUGAAUCUAAAUCUAAUUCUAUGAAAAAUUUACUAAAUAUAAAAAUUAACUAUAAUUGAAUGUGAAAAUAAAUCACAAUAAUCAUAAAAAAUGAAUAUAUAUGAUAUUCCAAAUAUACUAGUUCAUGUUAAUUAAAUAAUUUAACUAAGUUAAUUUUUUGAAUCUAAAUCUAAUUCUAAUGUUUACUAGUUGAAUCUAAUUCUAACUAGAUUGAAUGUGAAAAUAAAAUUAAAUAAUCAUUUAAAAUAAGCAAAUCCUUCUAUAAUUAAAUAAUCAAAUUAACCUAAAUUAAUUUAAUAAAAAUAUACAAAUUAAUUACAAUUGAAUGUAAAAAUAACAUUAAAUCAUCUAUAUUGAAAAUAUAUUAAUUAAAUACAAUUGAAAAAAAAAUUAAUUACAAUUAAAAACAAACAUGGAUGAAAUGAAUGCAAAAUGGGCUAUUUAUAGGAAAAUUUUGGGCCAAAAUAGCCAUUAAAAGAUGAUUUUACUGUUGAAAAACAAUUUUAGCCGUUGGAUCAAAAUCUAGGCGAAAUCUGACCGUUGGAUCAUGAUUUUACCGUUGGAAAAACAUCCCAGCCUUUGGAUCAAACCCAGAUUCAAUUUGGGGCGUCAGAUGCAUGAUCGUUGGAGGCGGACAUGAUUUGGGCCGUUGGAUCACGUUGAAGGCAGCAACAAAAAAUUGAUGAUUUUCCACCAUAUUUGCCGAUUUUUUGCUGAUAUUCUGCGAUAUUUCUCCCAUUCGAUAAAUCUCCAUGAAAUAUUGUGUCAACGGCCUCCGAUACACGAUAUAUCGACGAUAUAUCUCCGAUAUAUCCUGACAUUUUCUUCCAUGCUUUUAAUUGGUUCUUAUAUGUACAAUUACACAAACAUUCCCUCUAAUUUUAUGAAUUUAUGUCAUACCCCUUGAUAGGCUUGGCGUUGAUCAAUAUUGACGGUUGACCUAAUAACAUCAUGUCAUGAUUGAAAAUUUCAACAAAAUACCUAAAUAUAGUUAUUCUUAAUUAGAAUUUCUUAAUUUUAUUUAUAUAAAAAACCUAAUAAUACUUUUGUUUGUUAAAAUAUAAAUUCAUUCUAAUUAAUACCAAAUUAUUUGUUAGCCCAAUGGUUCUCCUAAUCAAGUUUUGAUGAUAACAAAACAUGUUUAAGUUACUAAUUAGUUUGAAUUAUAAAGAAUUUCAGACGUUAAUUUGGAAAUUCAUCAAAGAACCAAAUGGAUGCAAGAUCAAAACCUUUGGAAGACCUUUAAUAAUAGGAAAUAAAUGUAAGGUAAAUGCAUGGGUACACUUAGGUUUUACAUAUCAUUUCAUGCAUCUUUGAAAAAUUCGAUUUAUUCUUUAAAGUUAUAGUUUCAUCAAAACACGGUACUAUUUCCUUUUAACUAUUUUUCGUAAGUUAAUCAAUUCUUCAUAUUCCCUAUAUCUUCUUUCAAAACUUUUAAAAAACAUGACAGUAUAACAAAUUUUAAAUUCAUUAAUAAAUUUAUUUAUUUAUUUAUUUAUUUAUUUAUGAUUCUGGUUCCUUUUAUUAUCUCUUUUUACAUUAAUUCUUGGGACAUUUCCCAUUAAGUGAUUUGAAUGAAUCACUAAUUGUCCUUUCAUGAAGUUUCUCUUGAGUAAUCACCCUCAUAUCAUAUCAUUUUCAUUGCAUGAUUUAGGUGCAUUAUAAGUUGCACGAAAGAUCCAAGUCAUAGGUUCUUUGUAAGGUGAUAAGUGAUUCAUAAUUAGUUCAUGGAAUUGGGUAAUCUAGCAAAUACUAUAGUGCAUUAUCUCCUAAUUGGAGGGAUAACUUAUCUUGGUCAUCAGGAUGACUUUCCCAUGGUAAGUGCACUAGUGUGUAUGGUUACAUAUGAAAUAAAACCUAUAGUGAAUCAUAACUAUUUGGUAGUCAUAAUUCACCAGGCUACUAUACUAUGCAAACUCUCAACCUUGAAAAGAUAUUGAGCCUAUGUUGAAAUCAAUACAAAGUUUUGACCUAUAAGUGAGACCCUAA
RNAcentral lists this long non-coding RNA (26828 nucleotides) under Vitis vinifera (wine grape). RNAcentral's name for it is "long non-coding RNA (VVIN_LNC003528)". The record is from RNAcentral. Lineage: Eukaryota; Viridiplantae; Streptophyta; Magnoliopsida; Vitales; Vitaceae.